AGUGAACGCUGGCGGUAGGCUUAACACAUGCAAGUCGAACGGUGAACGAGGGAGCUUGCUCCCUCCGGAUCAGUGGCGAACGGGUGAGUAACACGUGAGCAAUCUGCCCUGGACUCUGGGAUAAGCGUUGGAAACGACGUCUAAUACCGGAUACGAGGCGUGGGGGCAUCCCCAACGCCUGGAAAGAACUUCGGUCCAGGAUGAGCUCGCGGCCUAUCAGGUAGUUGGUGAGGUAACGGCUCACCAAGCCUACGACGGGUAGCCGGCCUGAGAGGGUGACCGGCCACACUGGGACUGAGACACGGCCCAGACUCCUACGGGAGGCAGCAGUGGGGAAUAUUGCACAAUGGGCGAAAGCCUGAUGCAGCAACGCCGCGUGAGGGACGACGGCCUUCGGGUUGUAAACCUCUUUUAGCAGGGAAGAAGCGAAAGUGACGGUACCUGCAGAAAAAGCACCGGCUAACUACGUGCCAGCAGCCGCAGUAA
Molecule: ribosomal RNA, 486 nt
Filed under: uncultured bacterium
Lineage: Bacteria
Description: partial 16S ribosomal RNA
Rfam family: Bacterial small subunit ribosomal RNA
Source: RNAcentral